Molecule: long non-coding RNA, 281 nt
Filed under: Callithrix jacchus (white-tufted-ear marmoset)
Lineage: Eukaryota; Metazoa; Chordata; Mammalia; Primates; Cebidae
Description: lncRNA (ENSCJAG00000070272.1)
Source: RNAcentral
GGGCUCCAAAGGACACAGGCUUCCUCUCUGACUUUCUUUUCUUACCUGGAAUCACCAAGGAGCUAUUGGCAUAGUGGAGAGAGCGAUGUGCCACCAGUGCAAAGGAGAGACAAUAGGACUGCGCCAUCAUGGAGAUCACGAACCACCUUGCAAGACAGAAAAGAAAGUGUCCUUUCCAAUGUGAUCAGUCUUAAAAACUAUCCUCAGUAUAUAAAAGCCAUGACGUUGACUGAGUGAUUCACAUGCUCCGGGACCUUUGAGUGAUUCACAUGCUCCGGGAC